This 66-nucleotide transfer RNA is filed under the name Drosophila polychaeta. RNAcentral describes it as "tRNA-Asn". The record is from RNAcentral. Lineage: Eukaryota; Metazoa; Arthropoda; Insecta; Diptera; Drosophilidae.
UAAUUGAAGCCAAAUUAGAGGCUUAUCACUGUUAAUGAUAGAAUUGAGUAAAUUUCUCCAAUUAAG